This is a non-coding RNA of Phrynosoma platyrhinos (Desert horned lizard), 72 nucleotides long. Lineage: Eukaryota; Metazoa; Chordata; Lepidosauria; Squamata; Phrynosomatidae. The record is from the annotation of a GenBank genome assembly.
AAUUGCAUGGUGUAGUGGUUCGAGCUUUAGAAUUUGACUCUAGAGACCAGGGUUCGAAUCCCUGCUCAAAAA